UCGACGUCUUCCUUUUUUUAUUAAAGUUAUUUUCCUUUUUUUUCUUUAGUUUUAAUAUCUUUUUUGACUAAUCCUACAUGGCAAUUUGAUUGGUAGUCAAUAGUGAGGUGAAUUUAGAGGAUUCACCAUAGGGGUGAACCCAAGUUUUGUUCAUUCGUCACUAUGUGGCUCCACCAUCAGGGCUAUUGUCCAAGGUUUAUUUUAUUACUAACUAGGGUCGGAUCCACCGUACGGACGGGUAUGCAAAUGAACAAAACAAUAUAAAUAUAUUUUAAAUUUUAAUAAAUUUUCAGUUUAUUUUAAAUUAUAAUUUUCACUAUUUUUACAACAAAUUUUACUAUUUCUUCUCUUUUAUAAAUUAUAUAUUUGUUACUAUAAUAAAACAAUUUAUAAAAAAUAUGAGUAAACUAUAUCUCUUAUUCCAAAAUAAAUUUCAUAAAGAAGCAAAUAAAAAAAACUUUUAAAAGUGUAGUAUGAGUUAAAUACACUAAAAUUUCUAUGAAUUUUUUUUUGUAACACCUGUAUGAAAAAUAUUACUAUUUACUAUAUCAUUUGUUAAACUAUAAACAUAAAAAAAUAUAUUGCAAUCUAAUUAUAGUUAAAAUAUUGUCAUGGAUUAAAACUCAGUGUAAAAAGAUAAUUAAGAUAUCCUCAAUAGAUAUGCACAACUUAUUUAAUUUCUUUUAUUAAAUUUUGUUUUGUUUCACAAUUUCUAUCUUUUCAAAAUACCAAGCAGGUUAUUACAUUGUUAUUAAAAGUAAAAUUUUAUAUACUUUCUAACUUAAUCUUUUAUUUUUAUAUUUCGUUAACAAUAUCAAGCACUAAUGUAUCAGUUAGAGGAUUUAUGUGAAUUUUGAGUCCAACAUUAUGAUCCAAAAAUAUUAUUUUCUUUUUUUUUUCCGGUAAAAACAUUCUGCAAUCUUGUAUUAAUAUCACAAAUUAAAAAUAUAAAUUUUAUUUUUUAUAAGAUCUAUGUUUAUUAUUACUAUGCGAUCGAGAGUACAUGAUUUUCAUGAAGAAGAUUAGUGAUAUAUUGUAUUACAUGUUAAUGAAAUUUAAAAGAAUUGUCUAAAGGCCUAGCUUACCAAGCUUACUUGCGUCAGAAGGUAAUGCGUAUACUAACAAUGUGUAUGCACCGAUGGUGAUCACAAGAGUUAUGGUGAUCACCAUAAAAAUCAUUGCCAAUUUGCUAGUUAUAAUCAUAUGCAAGUUUCAUACAGAUGGAAUUACUAAGUACUGUUAGCGCUAAACUUACAUCGAAAUCAAAUUUAAAAGAAAAUUUUGAAGAAUAAAGUUCUGGAACUCACAAAAAAACUCCCAACUUAAGUUAUUAGAUUUAUCUUUUCAAAAUCACAUAAGUUUUUUAUAUCACUACAACUUAAAUAUUGUAAAACAGGAAAUAAUUAAAAAUGAGAAAAUUCAGAAAACAAAAACAUAUAUAAGCAAUAACUAAGAUAAUUUUUUUUAAGAAAGAAAAUAGUUAUUAAAUCUCUUUAGCAUUUUUUUUUGAACAACAAAUCUCUUUAGCUCAAAGUUUUAUUUGUCACGUUCAAAAUAAUACUUUUGUCUUUAUGUGAUAGAGCCUUUUACGACUCUAUAAAAACAGUUCCACACACAACUCUCUUCUCUAAAAAAAAAAAAACUAAACUAUUGCAUGCUCUCUCCCUCUCUCUUCUCUCUCUCUCUCGCAAUCAAGAAGAUCAUGUCAGGCGUGUGGGUGUUCAAGAACGGAGUGAUAAGGCUUGUGGAGAACCCUAACCAGUCAGGAGCCGACUCAUACAGCCGAAGGAAGGUCAUGGUCUAUUUACCGACAGGAGAAGUGGUCUCAUCUUAUUCGAUGCUCGAGCAGAUCCUCCAGAGUUGAAGCCUAGGCAGCAGCAACGUAAAGAGAUACCUGAUACAUUGAUCAGGUAGCUGGGCGGUUGCAUAUUUACAAGGAAGUCUCUGCUUGGUUGUAUUUUUCUUCUUCUAUAUAACCCAUAUGAUUACUGUUAUUAUGAUUAUUAUACACCUUUACCUAUUAUAUAAUUUUUGUUUUGUAUUUUGAUGAAAUUUUGUGAUUGGUACUUUCUGUAAUUUCAUUUGAAUUAAUGGGAUUUUAUAAUCCUUUUAUAAUAUACCUAGACUAAUGAAA
Long non-coding RNA from Brassica napus (rape), 2134 nucleotides. RefSeq lists it as uncharacterized. The record is from RefSeq and is a predicted model, not a curated record. Lineage: Eukaryota; Viridiplantae; Streptophyta; Magnoliopsida; Brassicales; Brassicaceae. The transcript has 3 exons.